CCUACGGGAGGCAGCAGUGAGGAAUAUUGGUCAAUGGACGAGAGUCUGAACCAGCCAAGUAGCGUGAAGGAUGACUGCCCUAUGGGUUGUAAACUUCUUUUAUAAAGGAAUAAAACGAGGCACGUGUGCCUUUUUGCAUGUACUUUAUGAAUAAGGAUCGGCUAACUCCGUGCCAGCAGCCGCGGUAAUACGGAGGAUCCGAGCGUUAUCCGGAUUUAGUGGGUUUAAAGGGAGCGUAGAUGGGUUGUUAAGUCAGUUGUGAAAGUUUGCGGCUCAACCGUAAAAUUGCAAUUGAUACUGGCAGUCUUGAGUACAGUUGAGGUAGGCGGAAUUCGUGGUGUAGCGGUGAAAUGCUUAGAUAGCACGAAGAACCCCGAUUGCGAAGGCAGCUUACUAAACUGUGACUGACAUUGAUGCUCGAAAGUGUAGGUAUCAAACAGGAUUAGAUACCCUUGUAGUC
This 460-nucleotide ribosomal RNA is filed under the name uncultured bacterium. RNAcentral describes it as "partial 16S ribosomal RNA". It matches the Rfam family "Bacterial small subunit ribosomal RNA", at positions 338 to 795 of the family's 1533-position model. The record is from RNAcentral.